UGGGGAAUAUUGGGCAAUGGGCGCAAGCCUGACCCAGCAACGCCGCGUGAAGGAAGAAGGCUUUCGGGUUGUAAACUUCUUUUGUCAGGGAAGAGUAGAAGACGGUACCUGACGAAUAAGCCACGGCUAACUACGUGCCAGCAGCCGCGGUAAUACGUAGGUGGCAAGCGUUGUCCGGAUUUACUGGGUGUAAAGGGCGUGUAGCCGGGUUGACAAGUCAGAUGUGAAAUCCUGCGGCUUAACCGCAGAACUGCAUUUGAAACUGUUGAUCUUGAGUACUGGAGAGGCAGACGGAAUUCCUAGUGUAGCGGUGAAAUGCGUAGAUAUUAGGAGGAACACCAGUGGCGAAGGCGGUCUGCUGGACAGCAACUGACGGUGAGGCGCGAAAGCGUGGGGAGCAAACAGG
RNAcentral lists this ribosomal RNA (406 nucleotides) under uncultured bacterium. RNAcentral's name for it is "bacterial SSU rRNA". It matches the Rfam family "Bacterial small subunit ribosomal RNA", at positions 355 to 776 of the family's 1533-position model. The record is from RNAcentral.